This 328-nucleotide unclassified non-coding RNA is filed under the name plant metagenome. RNAcentral describes it as "partial contains 5.8S ribosomal RNA, internal transcribed spacer 2, and large subunit ribosomal RNA". The stretch from base 1 to 105 matches the Rfam family "5.8S ribosomal RNA", at positions 50 to 154 of the family's 154-position model. The record is from RNAcentral.
GAAAUGCGAUAAGUAAUGUGAAUUGCAGAAUUCCGUGAAUCAUCGAAUCUUUGAACGCACAUUGCGCCCUCUGGUAUUCCGGGGGGCAUGCCUGUCCGAGCGUCAUUGCGAACCCCUCAAGCACGGCUUGUGUGAUGGGCCCUCCCGCGUCUUGGUCGUCAAGACGGGCCCGAAAUGCAGUGGCGGCUUCGCGGUUAUCCGAUCAGCAGAGCGUAUGGGGACUCUCUCUCUUGUCACACGCCCGCGGCGCGGACCGACGCCUGUCGACCUUUAUUCAUCUUCUCUCGGUUGACCUCGGAUCAGGUAGGGAUACCCGCUGAACUUAAGC